RNAcentral lists this ribosomal RNA (162 nucleotides) under Fagus crenata (Japanese beech). RNAcentral's name for it is "5.8S ribosomal RNA". It matches the Rfam family "5.8S ribosomal RNA". From Rfam's summary of the family: 5.8S ribosomal RNA (5.8S rRNA) is a component of the large subunit of the eukaryotic ribosome. It is transcribed by RNA polymerase I as part of the 45S precursor that also contains 18S and 28S rRNA. Lineage: Eukaryota; Viridiplantae; Streptophyta; Magnoliopsida; Fagales; Fagaceae. The record is from RNAcentral.
AAAACGACUCUCGGCAACGGAUAUCUCGGCUCUCGCAUCGAUGAAGAACGUAGCGAAAUGCGAUACUUGGUGUGAAUUGCAGAAUCCCGUGAAUCAUCGAGUCUUUGAACGCAAGUUGCGCCCGACGCCAUUCGGCCGAGGGCACGUCUGCCUGGGUGUCAU